CAGCAGCCGCUGUAAUACGUAGGGUGCAAGCGUUAAUCGGAAUUACUGGGCGUAAAGCGUGCGCAGGCGGUUAUAUAAGACAGAUGUGAAAUCCCCGGGCUCAACCUGGGAACUGCAUUUGUGACUGUAUAGCUAGAGUACGGCAGAGGGGGAUGGAAUUCCGCGUGUAGCAGUGAAAUGCGUAGAUAUGCGGAGGAACACCGAUGGCGAAGGCAAUCCCCUGGGCCUGUACUGACGCUCAUGCACGAAAGCGUGGGGAGCAAACAGGAUUAGAUACCCCGGUAGUCCCUGUCUCUUAUAC
RNAcentral lists this ribosomal RNA (301 nucleotides) under uncultured bacterium. RNAcentral's name for it is "partial 16S ribosomal RNA". It matches the Rfam family "Bacterial small subunit ribosomal RNA", at positions 509 to 807 of the family's 1533-position model. The record is from RNAcentral.